This 84-nucleotide transfer RNA is filed under the name Patescibacteria group bacterium. Its description in RNAcentral is "tRNA-Tyr". It matches the Rfam family "tRNA". Rfam says of the family: Transfer RNA (tRNA) molecules are approximately 80 nucleotides in length. Their secondary structure includes four short double-helical elements and three loops (D, anti-codon, and T loops). The record is from RNAcentral.
GGGUGUGUGGCGGAACUGGUAACGCACUCGGCUGUAACCCGACAGUAGCUUUUGAGCUUGGAGGUUCGAAUCCUCCCACACCCA